GAAGAAAAGGUUGCCAGCUACCCAGAGAGCCUGUGAUCCCUUCAUAGUCCUGGAGGUCCUACUGGCCAGAGCAUCCAGAAUUAUCCCUGUAGAUAUUUCAGCUGGACCACUAAACCCCCACCAGCUUGACUCCCUUCCAAAGACAAUGGAGUCUGGCUGCUGACCAGGAGCUGCGAAACUGCCCCUCUUACCCAUCUCCAGCCACGUGGUUUCUGGACAUCUUCCCUGGGGAGAGGACAGUCAAUAGCUGUGAAGGAAACACAUCAGUGAAGGUAGCUGUGCGUAGCUGAGCGCUCACUGGAGAGACAGGCCGUCAGAUGAGAGAUUGGCGUCAAGUAGUAAACGGCAACCAAAGGAGUCACAUAAGGUGAAUGCGUUGGCUGGAGCUCCAGAGCCAUUCUGGAUCAUGAGGCGAAGAGCUGAGGGUGGUGGACCAAAAGGAUGGAAACAUCUGGGUCUCUGAUGUCCAAGGCACCACCAUUCCAGUCAAGCUCUGGAGUGACUGCCUCUCGAUUUUUAUUGCAGGAGACAAAAAUAAACAUUUAUGUGUU
Molecule: long non-coding RNA, 551 nt
Organism: Equus caballus (horse)
Lineage: Eukaryota; Metazoa; Chordata; Mammalia; Perissodactyla; Equidae
Source: RefSeq, a predicted model, not a curated record